GGGGGGGGGGGGGGGGGGGGGGGACGGGUGGGGGGCGGGGGGGGGGGCGCUGCUUGCAGGGUACUCGGGUGGCGAACGGGUGAGUCACACGUGGGUGAUCUGCCCUGCACUUCGGGAUAAGCCUGGGAAACUGGGUCUAAUACCGGACAGGAGCCAUUUUUCGUGUGAUGGUUGGAAAGUUUUGUCGGUGUAGGAUGAGCUCGCGGCCUAUCAGCGUGUUGGUGGGGGAAUGGCCUACCAAGGCGGCGACGGGUAGCCGGCCUGAGAGGGUGUACGGCCACAUUGGGACUGAAAUACGGCCCAGACUCCUGCGGGAGGCAGCAGUGGGGAAUAUUGCACAAUGGGCGCAAGCCUGAUGCAGCGACGCCGCGUGGGGGAUGACGGCCUUCGGGUUGUAAACUCCUUUCGCUAGGGACGAAGCUUUUUGUGACGGUACCUAGAUAAGAAGCACCGGCUAACUACGUG
This 465-nucleotide ribosomal RNA is filed under the name uncultured bacterium. RNAcentral describes it as "partial 16S ribosomal RNA". It matches the Rfam family "Bacterial small subunit ribosomal RNA", at positions 38 to 507 of the family's 1533-position model. The record is from RNAcentral.